Molecule: ribosomal RNA, 228 nt
Filed under: uncultured bacterium
Lineage: Bacteria
Description: partial 16S ribosomal RNA
Rfam family: Bacterial small subunit ribosomal RNA
Source: RNAcentral
AUCAUGGCUCAGGAUGAACGCUAGCUACAGGCUUAACACAUGCAAGUCGAGGGGCAGCAUGGUCUUAGCUUGCUAAGGCUGAUGGCGACCGGCGCACGGGUGAGUAACACGUAUCCAACCUGCCGUCUACUCUUGGCCAGCCUUCUGAAAGGAAGAUUAAUCCAGGAUGGGAUCAUGAGUUCACAUGUCCGCAUGAUUAAAGGUAUUUUCCGGUAGACGAUGGGGACG